This 485-nucleotide ribosomal RNA is filed under the name Pseudomonas sp. CL1.12. RNAcentral's name for it is "bacterial SSU rRNA". It matches the Rfam family "Bacterial small subunit ribosomal RNA", at positions 17 to 497 of the family's 1533-position model. Lineage: Bacteria; Pseudomonadati; Pseudomonadota; Gammaproteobacteria; Pseudomonadales; Pseudomonadaceae. The record is from RNAcentral.
CCCUGGCUCAGAUUGAACGCUGGCGGCAGGCCUAACACAUGCAAGUCGAGCGGAUGAAGAGAGCUUGCUCUCUGAUUCAGCGGCGGACGGGUGAGUAAUGCCUAGGAAUCUGCCUGGUAGUGGGGGACAACGUUUCGAAAGGAACGCUAAUACCGCAUACGUCCUACGGGAGAAAGCAGGGGACCUUCGGGCCUUGCGCUAUCAGAUGAGCCUAGGUCGGAUUAGCUAGUUGGUGAGGUAAUGGCUCACCAAGGCGACGAUCCGUAACUGGUCUGAGAGGAUGAUCAGUCACACUGGAACUGAGACACGGUCCAGACUCCUACGGGAGGCAGCAGUGGGGAAUAUUGGACAAUGGGCGAAAGCCUGAUCCAGCCAUGCCGCGUGUGUGAAGAAGGUCUUCGGAUUGUAAAGCACUUUAAGUUGGGAGGAAGGGCAUUAACCUAAUACGUUAGUGUUUUGACGUUACCGACAGAAUAAGCACCGGC